RNAcentral lists this long non-coding RNA (1066 nucleotides) under Ailuropoda melanoleuca (giant panda). RNAcentral describes it as "lncRNA (ENSAMEG00000027087.1)". The record is from RNAcentral. Lineage: Eukaryota; Metazoa; Chordata; Mammalia; Carnivora; Ursidae.
AGCCCCGCCGCCGCCGCCGCCGCCUAGCCCGGCUCGGGCCCGUGGCCGGGCGCGCAUUGUCCGCUGGUGCGAGGAGCGGGGCUGCGGACUCGGACGGCCGCGGGCCUGAGACACCGUAGCGGGCGGGCGGGGAGCGGUGCGCCGCGAGAGCCGGGGGGCCCGAGAGUAGGGACCGGCGCUCCGCGGGCGAGGCUGGGAACUGCGGGCUGGCUCCACGUUCGGCAACUGCCGGCUUCGGGCGCCGUUUGGACCGGCGCUUGCUCGGCGCCACCGGCCUGGAGCUGCCUUCGGGCGGCUGCGAGCCGGAGCAGUCCCAGCCUCGGGUCGGGUGACCGGAGUGGAGGAGCCGCGGCCGCGUCCAGCCCGGCCUGGGGAGCCAGGGCGAGUGGUGUUUUCCAGGCGGAUCGAUGGGGACAGCGGAACUCGAGCUGUGGGUCAGGGCAGCCGGGCUCCCAGGGGCCACGCUCAGGGACCCUCGCCCCGGGAGGAGCGAUUUGUAGGGCGGAUCUGGAGCAGAGUACUUGAGGCGCGCAGGACCCGGUCCUAGGAGAAAGAUUCGGGAAGCGGACAAAUCGAAGGGACGUUCGGGGUGAAGCGACAGGGCAGCCUCGCAGGGCUCGGAGUGGAUCCGAGGACCGACCCUGGCGGCUCUGCGGGCUCCGGAAGCCGCUUGGGGGGCUGCGGGCGCAGCGCGGCGGGCGGGUGCGGGUGGCCCGCAGGGACCGCGGCCUGCGCGGGGGGCGCUAGCUGAGAGGUGCCGCAUCGUGCCGGGGGAGUCCGGGCUGCGGCCGAGGGCAGGACGGGCUCGACUCCGGCGUCCUGGCCCGAGCCGCGGGCUCUAGACCCGUAGGCGCUGCCUGCGCUUCAUUCUCCCCGCCCGGCCGGCAAGCCCACAUGCGGGGCCGCCUGUGUUCAGCCUGGGAAACGGGGGCGCUCUGGGUCUUCUACCCUCACCCCACUUGUCUCGGGACUUCUCCAGCGUGUUGACUUCUUGGAUUUCGAGUGCUUUCCAACUGGUGGAAGCCAGAAGCUUCACAUUUUAGGCAGAUCUAGGCGACCCCCCCAC